GCUGCAGUAUCGCAACACACAGUGUCUCUUCGAGCCUGUGCUAAGAUUGAGGACAAAUGUGACUGUCUGAAGGAAACAAACAUGAACCCUGUGUGAACUGAAGAGGACUGUGGGCUGCAUAUCUGGGACUUGAUGGGGCUGCAGUUGGGUGACCUCUGUGACAUGGCCAGUGGCAAGAUGCACCGGCCCAUGAGGUCCUGCAGAAGAGCGGAUAGAUUCCAGGGCAGAGUGGUAGCAUCUUGUAACCCGAAGCUGGUCAGAGAGGCAGAAGAGACUCUCACCACCAAGCAGAGGCUGGCCAGCCCUUGGGAGAGGAGGUGGCCCCGGACUACCCAGCUCUGGGACAUGGGUGAAGUCUCCCAUCAAAAGGUAGCCUUUCUCUG
Molecule: long non-coding RNA, 383 nt
Filed under: Amazona collaria (yellow-billed parrot)
Lineage: Eukaryota; Metazoa; Chordata; Aves; Psittaciformes; Psittacidae
Description: lncRNA (ENSACOG00000003695.1)
Source: RNAcentral